This 433-nucleotide ribosomal RNA is filed under the name uncultured bacterium. RNAcentral describes it as "partial 16S ribosomal RNA". It matches the Rfam family "Bacterial small subunit ribosomal RNA", at positions 29 to 507 of the family's 1533-position model. The record is from RNAcentral.
AAUGAACGCUGGCGGCAUGCCUAACACAUGCAAGUCGAACGAAGGCUUCGGCCUUAGUGGCGCACGGGUGCGUAACGCGUGGGAAUCUGCCCUUGGGUUCGGAAUAACAGUUAGAAAUGACUGCUAAUACCGGAUGAUGUCGUAAGACCAAAGAUUUAUCGCCCAAGGAUGAGCCCGCGUAGGAUUAGCUAGUUGGUGGGGUAAAGGCCUACCAAGGCGACGAUCCUUAGCUGGUCUGAGAGGAUGAUCAGCCACACUGGGACUGAGACACGGCCCAGACCCCUACGGGAGGCAGCAGUGGGGAAUAUUGGACAAUGGGCGAAAGCCUGAUCCAGCAAUGCCGCGUGAGUGAUGAAGGCCUUAGGGUUGUAAAGCUCUUUUACCCGGGAUGAUAAUGACAGUACCGGGAGAAUAAGCUCCGGCUAACUUCGUG